AUUGAACGCUGGCGGAAUGCUUUACACAUGCAAGUCGAACGGCAGCACGGACUUCGGUCUGGUGGCGAGUGGCGAACGGGUGAGUAAAGUAUCGGAACGUGCCCAGUCGUGGGGGAUAACGUAGCGAAAGUUACGCUAAUACCGCAUACGAUCUAUGGAUGAAAGCGGGGGAUCGCAAGACCUCGCGCGAUUGGAGCGGCCGAUAUCAGAUUAGGUAGUUGGUGGGGUGAAGGCUCACCAAGCCGACGAUCUGUAGCUGGUCUGAGAGGACGACCAGCAACACUGGGACUGAGACACGGCCCAGACUCCUACGGGAGGCAGCAGUGGGGAAUUUUGGACAAUGGGCGAAAGCCUGACCCAGCCAUGCCGCGUGCAGGAUGAAGGCCUUCGGGUUGUAAACUGCUUUUGUACGGAACGAAAAGGUUUGGGCUAAUAAGCUGAGCUCAUGACGGUACCGUAAGAAUAAGCACCGGCUAACUACGUGCCAGCCGCCGCCGUAA
This 500-nucleotide ribosomal RNA is filed under the name uncultured bacterium. RNAcentral's name for it is "partial 16S ribosomal RNA". It matches the Rfam family "Bacterial small subunit ribosomal RNA", at positions 30 to 523 of the family's 1533-position model. The record is from RNAcentral.